GGUGGUUUGUCGCGUUGUUCGUGAAAACUCACAGCUUAACUGUGGGCGUGCGGGCGAUACGGGCAGACUAGAGUACUGCAGGGGAGACUGGAAUUCCUGGUGUAGCGGUGGAAUGCGCAGAUAUCAGGAGGAACACCGGUGGCGAAGGCGGGUCUCUGGGCAGUAACUGACGCUGAGGAGCGAAAGCGUGGGGAGCGAACAGGAUUAGAUACCCUGGUAGUCCACGCCGUAAACGGUGGGUACUAGGUGUGGGUUUCCUUCCUUGGGAUCCGUGCCGUAGCUAACGCAUUAAGUACCCCGCCUGGGGAGUACGGCCGCAAGGCUAAAACUCAAAGGAAUUGACGGGGGCCCGCACAAGCGGCGGAGCAUGUGGAUUAAUUCGAUGCAACGCGAAGAACCUUACCUGGGUUUGACAUGCACAGGACGCCGGCAGAGAUGUCGGUUCCCUUGUGGCCUGUGUGCAGGUGGUGCAU
This 473-nucleotide ribosomal RNA is filed under the name Mycobacterium sp. S78. RNAcentral's name for it is "bacterial SSU rRNA". It matches the Rfam family "Bacterial small subunit ribosomal RNA", at positions 574 to 1046 of the family's 1533-position model. RNAcentral also lists the same sequence under 1 other name. The record is from RNAcentral. Lineage: Bacteria; Bacillati; Actinomycetota; Actinomycetes; Mycobacteriales; Mycobacteriaceae.